CUUUUGUGACAGCUCAGGCAUCGCCAUGGCAACGCGCUGUGAUGCGAUCGGCCCUGAGUUAUGACCUCACUGCAGGACCGGGCAGUCCGGGCUGCUCUGGAGGAGGAACAAAAGCAGCUCCUGCUUCAACCCAAGUGGGCUCUGUGCUUCGAGACAGUGGGAUUUGUCCUGGAGCAGAGAGGAAGAAUAACAUCCCCCAGGAAAAACCGUGUAACAUGAGGAAGUAUGUUUCUUGGGGCGUUUCUCACCUCAUCAGAUGAAGUUGUCUAUAACAGUAAUGCCUUUAUCAGUGAUCAUCAUUUGGAGUCUCU
This 311-nucleotide long non-coding RNA is filed under the name Gallus gallus (chicken). Its description in RNAcentral is "long non-coding RNA NONGGAT004546". Lineage: Eukaryota; Metazoa; Chordata; Aves; Galliformes; Phasianidae. The record is from RNAcentral.